RNAcentral lists this signal recognition particle RNA (321 nucleotides) under Thermoprotei archaeon. RNAcentral describes it as "signal recognition particle sRNA". It matches the Rfam family "Archaeal signal recognition particle RNA". Lineage: Archaea; Thermoproteati; Thermoproteota; Thermoprotei. The record is from RNAcentral.
GUGACGGGAGGCUUGGGGGGCUAGCCGUCCCCUUUAACCCGAAAGCGGCUAAACGCGGGGGGCCGUUAACCGUUGGGUAAAGGGUGUGUAUAUGUAAGGGCAUCCCAGAUGGGGGUGAUGACCCCUCCACCACGGGGAGGUGUGUUCCUCCGGUUAUAGGCUGGAGGGUCUAUGGCCGGAGGUAGACGGUGAAUCGGGUUAGGCCCGGGAGGGAGCAGCCCUAAGCCGUCGCAUACCUGCUCCGUGGGGUAAGUGGGGGUGAACAAUAUCCGUCUGGAAUGCCCUUACAUAUGCCACCUUGAACCAGCGGGAUGCCGUCAC